This 1950-nucleotide long non-coding RNA is filed under the name Dicentrarchus labrax (European seabass). RNAcentral's name for it is "lncRNA (ENSDLAG00005034060.1)". The record is from RNAcentral. Lineage: Eukaryota; Metazoa; Chordata; Actinopteri; Moronidae.
CAAUUAAAAAGAACUUCUUCGUCAGGAGAACGGUAUUGGGCACGGGUACUAUGGGAAGGAUUUUGGCCCGUACAAGCACUUGCCAAUGAGUUAAUAAUGUCCUCAUUGCUCAGUAUUGCUGCCACAAGGUUCCUGACUGACUCAUUCUCACUUCUACAAGAUGGCAGCAGUGCCUUGAUGACCAGUCAAGUUUCAUUCCAUAUAUUCAAAGAUUCAUUCUAUAUAUUCAAAGAUUAAUUUCCUAAACGACAUGCCAUAAUAUAUAUACUAUAUUGCCCUUGUCACAGAUUUCAUUGAAAACACCUUUGCAACUUCAUCAGCUGUGUUUUGUAAUCUCAAUUACUGCAAUAAAACACAUAUUUAUGCGGUUUGACAAGCAGUCUUCAUUAGCAUAGCAAUAUAACACUUGUCCUGAGUAAUAAUACUACCACUUGAAUCAAUAUAAAAAGACUGUUGCAAUUACAAACAGCCAACAGAUUUAAAUGAAAUAAGAAAUGACAAUAUAUAUGUAAUAUUUUAAUGCAGGAUAACUAAAAUGAUGCAACAUACUUAGAAAGACCAUGGACAUGCUGUAAAACAAUUAAUUAAUUCCUCACAGGAUUGACGGUGGAAAUACAGGUGAAUCACUAGGAUUAAUCUUAGCCUGGCUGUUAGUCUGGUCUGCAGCAGGCUAGCUGCAGAGAAUAAAUCACCAUAGUAACUUGGCCGGGAUAAGUUUAACCUGCUUUCAUGCAACCGACUUGAGGCUAAAUUAAGCCAGGAUAGCCAACAUAUCCCGGCUUAAUCCCUUAUCUUGGUUUUGUGCAAUACCCCUCAGGUGAGGAGACAAUAACAACAACAACAACAACAACAACAACAACAACAACAACAGAACUAACAACAACUGAAAACAGCAUAGAACCAGGAACCAAAACGACAGUGUCUUCAAUCAAUGAUACUUCAACACAACUAAAAGGUGAGGACACAAUAACAACAACAACUGAAAACAGCAUACUAACGGGUACCCACACGACAGCGUCUACAAUCAAUGAUACUUCAACAGAAUUAAAAGGUGAGGAGACAAUAACAACAACAACAACAACAACAACAACAACAACAGAACUAACAACAACUGAAAACAGCAUAAAAUCAGGAACCAAAACGACAGUGUCUUCAAUCAAUGAUACUUCAACACAACUAAAAGGUAGUGACCCAACAUUCUCUCUCUCUCUCUCUCUCUCUCUCUCUCUCUCUCUCUCUCUCUCUCUCUCUCUCUCUUUGUUAAGAUGUAAAAACAUCACAGUCUCUCAGUUUCACCUCAGUGAAUUUUCCGACUUCUCAUUUAUUUAUACAUCAAACUACAAAUUACUGAAGUGUGAAUUGAAUUAUGGUGGAUUUAAAGCUUUAAUAUUACAUCACAAGACAAGUUUUGUACUGAACAGUUUGUUGAGUUGUGUUCAUCUGUUCAGGUGAGGACACAAUAACAACAACAACUGAAAACAGCAUACUAACGGGUACCCACACGACAGCGUCUACAAUCAAUGAUACUUCAACAGAAUUAAAAGGUAUUAACUCAAUUGCAAAACAUCUCAAUGUAACACAGACCAUUUGUGGUACAGUGAGAACAUGGCUUCCUGCCGUCUGGUGCUGUAUUUUUGGACCCAGCAGCCUACAUAAAUAUCUUAGUCCAUCACCUGAGAAUCUGUAUCUCUCAAUGAGAUAGUCAUCUCCAACAGCCAAUGGGUCUGACCUGUCCCGGAAGACUCUUUCAUGACUAAAUGCUCGUCUGAGGAUUAGGGCUUCCUCAUCCAGUACAUCCUUCAAGAAAGGGCAAGCCAUUAUGAAGAGGGAACAGGUGUGAAUAAUAUAUAUAUAUAUUUAUAUAUAUAUAUAUAUAUUAUGGCGUGCCGUUUAGGAAAUUAAUCUUUGUAUAUAUGGAAUGAAGCUUUGAAUAUAUGGAAUGAAGCUUGG